Molecule: ribosomal RNA, 120 nt
Filed under: Streptomyces kashimirensis
Lineage: Bacteria; Bacillati; Actinomycetota; Actinomycetes; Kitasatosporales; Streptomycetaceae
Description: partial 16S rRNA
Rfam family: Bacterial small subunit ribosomal RNA
Source: RNAcentral
UCUAAUACCGGAUACGACCGCUGGGGGCAUGGCUGGUGGUGGAAAGCUCCGGCGGUGCAGGAUGAGCCCGCGGCCUAUCAGCUUGUUGGUGGGGUGAUGGCCUACCAAGGCGACGACGGG